Molecule: small nucleolar RNA, 143 nt
Organism: Drosophila albomicans
Lineage: Eukaryota; Metazoa; Arthropoda; Insecta; Diptera; Drosophilidae
Source: RefSeq, a predicted model, not a curated record
AUCGGGGCUUUAUCGAAGACCGCUUGGCGCUAAAAUGCAGUGCGUGAAAUGGUUCAAAAUGAAGCCCAAAGCAAUUUUUGAUACGACGGUCACUGAUCUGUGUACUUUAGCCGUUUCAGUAACUUUUACGUGCAAUUACAAAU